AACCCAUGAUGAGGGAACCAUCUCAGUAAGUCCUCAUACCUCUUGCAUGCAUCAUAUAGGGUCUCUAAAUCAAUGUGAAUGAAGGAAGAGAUAUCAUUCCUCAACUU
Gossypium hirsutum (cotton) is the source of this 107-nucleotide non-coding RNA. NCBI's taxonomy places the organism in Eukaryota, Viridiplantae, Streptophyta, Magnoliopsida, Malvales, Malvaceae. The record is from Rfam.